This 68-nucleotide transfer RNA is filed under the name Brachidontes exustus (scorched mussel). RNAcentral's name for it is "tRNA-Arg". Lineage: Eukaryota; Metazoa; Mollusca; Bivalvia; Mytilida; Mytilidae. The record is from RNAcentral.
AGACUUCUUAGCUUUAAUAGCGUUUUGGUUUCGGCCCAAAAAGGAUAAUUUACAUUAUAGAAGUCUAC